GUCGUCUUAUUCUCCUAACCCAGUCCCCCUAGCCACCGCCAUUUAUGUCUCUCUUCGCACGAAAACCCACCACCGCCACACCUACUCCUUGCGCCAUAGCCACUACCACUCCACCGCCGCACCUACUCCUCGCGCUACUGCCACCGCCACUCCACCGCUACACCACUUGUAGGCCAUUAGACGAUUGAACCAAGGAUUGUUUAUCGACAUGGACAAAUUUAUCUUGAGGUGUGUUAAGGCAACAAGCAUGUUGAGUGAAAAGAAACAAAGUCAUCCACCGAAAUGGACUCCAUGUUCGGUAAGUAAUUCAUACACUUCGCAAAACUACAUAUAUCUUAUUGUUUUUUAUUAAAAAAUGUUCUUAAUUGUAUUGUAAUUCAAAUGUAGUGUGCCUAACAAAGAGGAACUACUGAAUGCGGA
Ipomoea triloba (trilobed morning glory) is the source of this 420-nucleotide long non-coding RNA. RefSeq lists it as uncharacterized. The record is from RefSeq and is a predicted model, not a curated record. The transcript has 3 exons. Lineage: Eukaryota; Viridiplantae; Streptophyta; Magnoliopsida; Solanales; Convolvulaceae.